UUGAACGCUGGCGGCAUGCCUAACACAUGCAAGUCGAACGGAAACAGGACGCUGGGGAUCCCUUCGGGGUGAACUUGUCGCUGUCGAGUGGCGGACGGGUGAGUAAUGCGUAGGAAUUUGCCUCAAAGUGGGGGAUAGCCCGAAGAAAUUCGGAUUAAUACCGCAUGUGCUCUACGGAGGAAAGCGGGCCUCUACCUGUAAGCUCGCGCUUUGAGAUAAGCCUACGUCGGAUUAGCUUGUUGGUGGGGUAAUGGCCUACCAAGGCGACGAUCCGUAGCUGGUUUGAGAGGAUGAUCAGCCACACCGGAACUGAGACACGGUCCGGACUCCUACGGGAGGCAGCAGUGGGGAAUAUUGGACAAUGGGCGCAGCCUGAUCCAGCAAUGCCGCGUGUGUGAAGAAGGCCUGCGGGUUGUAAAGCACUUUUAUCAGGAAAGAAAAUCUCGGGGCUAAUACCCCCGGGCCUUGACGGUACCUGAUGAAUAAGCACCGGCUAACUCCGUG
Molecule: ribosomal RNA, 504 nt
Filed under: uncultured bacterium
Lineage: Bacteria
Description: bacterial SSU rRNA
Rfam family: Bacterial small subunit ribosomal RNA
Source: RNAcentral